Salvia hispanica is the source of this 472-nucleotide non-coding RNA. NCBI's taxonomy places the organism in Eukaryota, Viridiplantae, Streptophyta, Magnoliopsida, Lamiales, Lamiaceae. The record is from RefSeq and is a predicted model, not a curated record.
AAACCUUUCUCCCUAAUUUCAAACCGCCCCAAACCCUAGCCGCCGCUCAACAACGACAGAAACCACCGUGACCAUCAAUUCUCACCGUUAAUAGCGCCUUCGAUCGCCGAUUCGGAAUCUCAAACUUCAGGUUUUGGUGCGCGAGUGCCGUAGAUCGACGAUUCAGCUUCUAUUUACAAAAACGAUACGGGAUGACGAAAAGAGGUCGACCAUUCAAAACCCAACCAACGCAGAGCGAAGCCAAGGCAUAUAGAGACGUACUUUGGCGAGAGGGAGAAAGAUUGGGAGUACGGACUCAGCGCCAAAGGGACAAAGAGCUUGGAAUGUUGCGAAUAAAGUUUGCAACGGCUCUGCUUACUUCUCUACAUAACUCCAAAGGUGCAACCAACCAAACGCAAGCCACCAGACAUUGCAUAGAUAGGCUGUCAAAGUUCAGCUUCGAAAAAUGGGUCGAGAAUUAUGGCUAGAGUGA